RNAcentral lists this non-coding RNA (40 nucleotides) under Trypanosoma brucei brucei. The record is from RNAcentral. Lineage: Eukaryota; Euglenozoa; Kinetoplastea; Trypanosomatida; Trypanosomatidae.
AAAUGUACAGACAAACGAUAGAGAGACGAUGAGAUUAAAA